ACUCCUACGGGAGGCAGCAGUGGGGAAUUUUGGACAAUGGGGGCAACCCUGAUCCAGCAAUGCCGCGUGAGUGAAGAAGGCCUUCGGUUGUAAAGCUCUUUUGUCAGGGAAGAAACGGUAGUAGCGAAUAACUAUUACUAAUGACGGUACCUGAAGAAUAAGCACCGGCUAACUACGUGCCAGCAGCCGCGGUAAUACGUAGGGGUGCAAGCGUUAAUCGGAAUUACUGGGGCGUAAAGCGUGCGCAGGCGGUUGUGUAAGUCAGAUGUGAAAUCCCCGGGGCUCAACCUGGGAAUUGCAUUUGAGACUGCACGGCUAGAGUGUGUCAGAGGGGGGUAGAAUUCCACGUGUAGCAGUGAAAUGCGUAGAUAUGUGGAGGAAUACCGAUGGCGAAGGCAGCCCCCUGGGAUAACACUGACGCUCAUGCACGAAAGCGUGGGGAGCAAACAGGAUUAGAUACCCUGGUAGCGACUGA
This 475-nucleotide ribosomal RNA is filed under the name uncultured bacterium. RNAcentral's name for it is "bacterial SSU rRNA". It matches the Rfam family "Bacterial small subunit ribosomal RNA", at positions 335 to 798 of the family's 1533-position model. The record is from RNAcentral.